GUCUUUUUGAUUAUAAUUUAAGGUUUAAUCUGCUCAAUGAAAAUUUAAAUAGCCGCAGUAUUUUAACUGUGCAAAGGUAGCAUAAUAAUUAGUUUUUUUAUUGAAAGCUGGAAUGAAUGAUUGGACGAGAGGAUGACUGUCUCUUUAUAAUAUUUUUUGAAUUUAACUUUUAAGUGAAAAGGCUUAAAUUUAUUUGAAAGACGAGAAGACCCUAUAGAGUUUUAUUUAUUAUUAUAGUUUUAAGAAUUUAUUUUAUAAUAAUUAAAUUUAGUUGGGGUGAUUGAAAGAUUUAAUAAACUCUUUUAAUUUUAAUCAUUGAUUUAUGAAUUUUGAAUCUAAAAUAUUAAAUUUAAAUUAAAUUACCUUAGGGAUAACAGCGUAAUUUUUCUUUAGAGUUCUUAUUAAAAGAGAAGUUUGCGACCUCGAUGUUGGAUUAAAAUAAAUUUUUGGUGUAGAAGCUAAUAAAUUAAGUCUGUUCGACUUUUAAAAUUUUACA
Molecule: ribosomal RNA, 496 nt
Filed under: Bicellonycha wickershamorum
Lineage: Eukaryota; Metazoa; Arthropoda; Insecta; Coleoptera; Lampyridae
Description: partial 16S ribosomal RNA
Rfam family: Bacterial large subunit ribosomal RNA
Source: RNAcentral